This 580-nucleotide long non-coding RNA is filed under the name Homo sapiens (human). RNAcentral's name for it is "non-protein coding lnc-ANXA1-62:1". Lineage: Eukaryota; Metazoa; Chordata; Mammalia; Primates; Hominidae. The record is from RNAcentral.
AAACGCUACAGCUGCAGAAGCCCAUGCUGUUACCUUCUCUCCUCAUCCGUUUUUAGUAUUUGUAAUAUUUCUGGCCCUCCCACAUCUUUGGCAAUGUUUUCUAACGUCCCUCUUCUCUUUCUUCAGUGUUUUUCAUAAGAACGGUCCUUUCAUUUCUGUUUUAUGACGUAUAGUCUUCUGAUAAUAACACGAUAAGCAUUGUGGUGGUUCUGAACAUACAACGAAAUUAGAAAAAGUGGAAUAAUAAAUAAUUCACUUGUUUUCCUUCAGCUUCAUAAGGUUUCUACUAAUCUGUUUUCCUUAUGGGCCAAACUCUUAGAGAAAUUUGAUCAGGUGCCUUUAAAAAUAUAGAAACACGUUCAGAGAACUUCAAAGAAUACAAAAAAUAAUGUAUUUCUUUUCCAAAAUAACUUCACUUUCAUCAUAAAACAUGAAAAAUGGUGAAAGAAUCAUUUCCAAAAGAAAACCUAAACUUGUCUGAUUUCAGGACACACUUUUAUCUUUAAAAAAUUUUUCCUUACUGUUGUGAAAGGAAAAGAAAAGCUCAGGACCCCAAAUUCACUAUGCCAAAAGGGAAGAG